GGUUAAGCGACUAAGCGUACACGGUGGAUGCCCUGGCAGUCAGAGGCGAUGAAGGACGUGCUAAUCUGCGAUAAGCGUCGGUAAGGUGAUAUGAACCGUUAUAACCGGCGAUUUCCGAAUGGGGAAACCCAGUGUGUUUCGACACACUAUCAUUAACUGAAUCCAUAGGUUAAUGAGGCGAACCGGGGGAACUGAAACAUCUAAGUACCCCGAGGAAAAGAAAUCAACCGAGAUUCCCCCAGUAGCGGCGAGCGAACGGGGAGCAGCCCAGAGCCUGAAUCAGUGUGUGUGUUAGUGGAAGCGUCUGGAAAGGCGCGCGAUACAGGGUGACAGCCCCGUACACAAAAAUGCACAUGCUGUGAGCUCGAUGAGUAGGGCGGGACACGUGGUAUCCUGUCUGAAUAUGGGGGGACCAUCCUCCAAGGCUAAAUACUCCUGACUGACCGAUAGUGAACCAGUACCGUGAGGGAAAGGCGAAAAGAACCCCGGCGAGGGGAGUGAAAAAGAACCUGAAACCGUGUACGUACAAGCAGUGGGAGCCUCUUUAUGGGGUGACUGCGUACCUUUUGUAUAAUGGGUCAGCGACUUAUAUUCUGUAGCAAGGUUAACCGAAUAGGGGAGCCGAAGGGAAACCGAGUCUUAACUGGGCGUUAAGUUGCAGGGUAUAGACCCGAAACCCGGUGAUCUAGCCAUGGGCAGGUUGAAGGUUGGGUAACACUAACUGGAGGACCGAACCGACUAAUGUUGAAAAAUUAGCGGAUGACUUGUGGCUGGGGGUGAAAGGCCAAUCAAACCGGGAGAUAGCUGGUUCUCCCCGAAAGCUAUUUAGGUAGCGCCUCGUGAAUUCAUCUCCGGGGGUAGAGCACUGUUUCGGCAAGGGGGUCAUCCCGACUUACCAACCCGAUGCAAACUGCGAAUACCGGAGAAUGUUAUCACGGGAGACACACGGCGGGUGCUAACGUCCGUCGUGAAGAGGGAAACAACCCAGACCGCCAGCUAAGGUCCCAAAGUCAUGGUUAAGUGGGAAACGAUGUGGGAAGGCCCAGACAGCCAGGAUGUUGGCUUAGAAGCAGCCAUCAUUUAAAGAAAGCGUAAUAGCUCACUGGUCGAGUCGGCCUGCGCGGAAGAUGUAACGGGGCUAAACCAUGCACCGAAGCUGCGGCAGCGACACUAUGUGUUGUUGGGUAGGGGAGCGUUCUGUAAGCCUGUGAAGGUGUGCUGUGAGGCAUGCUGGAGGUAUCAGAAGUGCGAAUGCUGACAUAAGUAACGAUAAAGCGGGUGAAAAGCCCGCUCGCCGGAAGACCAAGGGUUCCUGUCCAACGUUAAUCGGGGCAGGGUGAGUCGACCCCUAAGGCGAGGCCGAAAGGCGUAGUCGAUGGGAAACAGGUUAAUAUUCCUGUACUUGGUGUUACUGCGAAGGGGGGACGGAGAAGGCUAUGUUGGCCGGGCGACGGUUGUCCCGGUUUAAGCGUGUAGGCUGGUUUUCCAGGCAAAUCCGGAAAAUCAAGGCUGAGGCGUGAUGACGAGGCACUACGGUGCUGAAGCAACAAAUGCCCUGCUUCCAGGAAAAGCCUCUAAGCAUCAGGUAACAUCAAAUCGUACCCCAAACCGACACAGGUGGUCAGGUAGAGAAUACCAAGGCGCUUGAGAGAACUCGGGUGAAGGAACUAGGCAAAAUGGUGCCGUAACUUCGGGAGAAGGCACGCUGAUAUGUAGGUGAGGNNNNNNNNNNNNNNNNNNNNNNNNNNNNNNNNNNNNNNNNNNNNNNNNNNNNNNNNNNNNNNNNNNNNNNNNNNNNNNNNNNNNNNNNNNNNNNNNUCGCGGAUGGAGCUGAAAUCAGUCGAAGAUACCAGCUGGCUGCAACUGUUUAUUAAAAACACAGCACUGUGCAAACACGAAAGUGGACGUAUACGGUGUGACGCCUGCCCGGUGCCGGAAGGUUAAUUGAUGGGGUUAGCGGUAACGCGAAGCUCUUGAUCGAAGCCCCGGUAAACGGCGGCCGUAACUAUAACGGUCCUAAGGUAGCGAAAUUCCUUGUCGGGUAAGUUCCGACCUGCACGAAUGGCGUAAUGAUGGCCAGGCUGUCUCCACCCGAGACUCAGUGAAAUUGAACUCGCUGUGAAGAUGCAGUGUACCCGCGGCAAGACGGAAAGACCCCGUGAACCUUUACUAUAGCUUGACACUGAACAUUGAGCCUUGAUGUGUAGGAUAGGUGGGAGGCUUUGAAGUGUGGACGCCAGUCUGCAUGGAGCCGACCUUGAAAUACCACCCUUUAAUGUUUGAUGUUCUAACGUUGACCCGUAAUCCGGGUUGCGGACAGUGUCUGGUGGGUAGUUUGACUGGGGCGGUCUCCUCCUAAAGAGUAACGGAGGAGCACGAAGGUUGGCUAAUCCUGGUCGGACAUCAGGAGGUUAGUGCAAUGGCAUAAGCCAGCUUGACUGCGAGCGUGACGGCGCGAGCAGGUGCGAAAGCAGGUCAUAGUGAUCCGGUGGUUCUGAAUGGAAGGGCCAUCGCUCAACGGAUAAAAGGUACUCCGGGGAUAACAGGCUGAUACCGCCCAAGAGUUCAUAUCGACGGCGGUGUUUGGCACCUCGAUGUCGGCUCAUCACAUCCUGGGGCUGAAGUAGGUCCCAAGGGUAUGGCUGUUCGCCAUUUAAAGUGGUACGCGAGCUGGGUUUAGAACGUCGUGAGACAGUUCGGUCCCUAUCUGCCGUGGGCGCUGGAGAACUGAGGGGGGCUGCUCCUAGUACGAGAGGACCGGAGUGGACGCAUCACUGGUGUUCGGGUUGUCAUGCCAAUGGCACUGCCCGGUAGCUAAAUGCGGAAGAGAUAAGUGCUGAAAGCAUCUAAGCACGAAACUUGCCCCGAGAUGAGUUCUCCCUGACUCCUUGAGAGUCCUGAAGGAACGUUGAAGACGACGACGUUGAUAGGCCGGGUGUGUAAGCGCAGCGAUGCGUUGAGCUAACCGGUACUAAUGAACCGUGAGGCUUAACCUU
RNAcentral lists this ribosomal RNA (2996 nucleotides) under Escherichia coli. RNAcentral describes it as "23S ribosomal RNA". It matches the Rfam family "Bacterial large subunit ribosomal RNA". Lineage: Bacteria; Pseudomonadati; Pseudomonadota; Gammaproteobacteria; Enterobacterales; Enterobacteriaceae. The record is from RNAcentral.